RNAcentral lists this ribosomal RNA (451 nucleotides) under uncultured bacterium. RNAcentral describes it as "partial 16S ribosomal RNA". It matches the Rfam family "Bacterial small subunit ribosomal RNA", at positions 338 to 794 of the family's 1533-position model. The record is from RNAcentral.
CCUACGGGAGGCAGCAGUAGGGAAUCUUCCACAAUGGGCGAAAGCCUGACGCAGCGACGCCGCGUGGAGGAUGAAGGCCUUCGGGUUGUAAACUCCUGUUAGAGGGGAAGAAGCCCCGCAAGGGGUUGACGGUACCCUCAGAGGAAGCCCCGGCUAACUACGUGCCAGCAGCCGCGGUAAUACGUAGGGGGCAAGCGUUACUCGGAAUUACUGGGCGUAAAGGGUGUGUAGGCGGCCGAGCAAGUCGAAGAUGAAAUCCCAGGGCGCAACCCUGGAAUUGCCUGCGAUACUGCUUGGCUGGAGGGUAGUGGAGGAGAGCGGAAUUCCCGGUGGAGGGGUAAAAUGCGUAGAUAUCGGGAGGAACACCAGAGGCGAAGGCGGCUCUCUAUGCUACUCCUGACGCUGAGGCACGAAAGCUAGGGGAGCAAACGGGAUUAGAUACCCUUGUAGU